Molecule: long non-coding RNA, 1293 nt
Filed under: Anser brachyrhynchus (Pink-footed goose)
Lineage: Eukaryota; Metazoa; Chordata; Aves; Anseriformes; Anatidae
Description: lncRNA (ENSABRG00000017572.1)
Source: RNAcentral
GUCCCCUUGGGGUAGGAAGUCAACGCUGGCAAGAGGAAAAAAUGUUGCAUUUAUGAAAAUAGCAUUGAUUUUCAGCUAAAAUCAUUGUGUUUAAAGUAUUUUUAAAACCACCGAUGCCCUGGAGAUUUCUCAGCCCACCUGCUGCUCUCCUUCCCCUCCGCCAGGCUAUGGGCUGGGGCACUGCCCCACCGCGCUGCUCCCUGCUCAAGGCAGCAGCUUCACUCCGACAUGCCAAAACAUGCACCUCUGCAGCCGUGCUAUUGCCAGAGAAAUUAAUCAAUAUAAUGCAACACAGGCUGCCAGAUCACCCACCACUAAAAAGCCCCAGACGCUGAGUUAUUUGUGAAUGACUUGACAGGCUCCCUGCUUACCUGGCUCUGUCGGUGUUAGAAAAACUCCCUCCCCAUCCAAGUAUACAGAGCUGUGUGCUACAAUUCCUUUGUCACUGCACAAAUAAGACAAGGCAAGGCCAUAUUAAACGAUUUAUCUCCUCCAUGAUCCACAGCACCUAUAUACACGACAUUUAUAAAAAAUCCUUUUAUUCCUAAGGUGAACCAAGGCUGGAACCUCUAACAGCUCUACAUGUCCUGAUUAAGCAAGAUGUGCUACAGCGUAUGCUUGAUAUAAAUUGCUUCUAAUUAAUUUUGGAGUGUAACAUUUGGAUAUUUACGGGCUCAAAGAAGUUAUGAAUCUUCUACCAUUUCACUGAUGCCUGCACUAUGAAUUAUUUAUGACUGAGUCAUCACGCACAGACAAACCCCCAGCCAUAUAGGUGAUCUCUGCCAGCUUACUUCUCCAGCUCAAACACAAAGUCUGCCAUUGCCUUCCUGAAGACCCCAGAGCUCCGCACAAAAGGAGGUGGUGACAAAGAGGCAGAAACCUAAUUAUUUGCACAUAAAUGAUGAACACGGCUGCCAGGUGCUGUCAGCACCAACAAAAAGCAGGUUCAAUUGGCAAAAAGUUUCUCCGUAAAGCUGCAGUUCCCUUGAGCCCCAAGCUUAAGGGCUCACUGGAUACCUUCCCAGGCUACGUAAGCAUUGACAGAAGAAUUGUGAAAAGCUGGAAGAAGGGGAAAACGAUACCAGGUCAGCUUUGUUUUCUAUUGUUAGCUUCCCCCUGGAAAAUGAAAAGCACCGAGUUUACCAGAUAGUCCUGCUGGGAGAGCCCGGCACAAAACCAAGGCGAGCUCACAUUACUGCUGUGUGCCUCCCACCACGAGCCAGAGGACACAUUGAUCUCAGCUAAGUUGAUUUAGCUCAAUCUGCAGUCUUUCUCCUUUUAUAUUACAUUAGG